CUAGACUUCAAACAGUUUGUUUUAACCAUGUUAAUAGUUCCACAUUAUUGGUUAAUAGAGAAUCAAAAUAAAUUUACCAAUGAAUCGCGAAAUGCUAUGGUUCUUACAUAUAAUUUAUGAAUUUAUACAGAAGUAAUUCGCGAGAUCAUGCACCUCUCUUUCCUACUUAUAACGGAAAAGGGUACAGUUGGUUGGUCCAACCUAUUCUUGAAAUAAACAACUCGCACAAGAUUAUUAUUCCAUUCCUUUCCAAAAUUCCAUAAU
This 264-nucleotide unclassified non-coding RNA is filed under the name Hevea brasiliensis (rubber tree). The record is from RNAcentral. Lineage: Eukaryota; Viridiplantae; Streptophyta; Magnoliopsida; Malpighiales; Euphorbiaceae.